UGGGGAAUAUUGCACAAUGGGGGAAACCCUGAUGCAGCGACGCCGCGUGAGCGAAGAAGGCUUUCGAGUCGUAAAGCUCUGUCCUAUGAGAAGAUAAUGACGGUAUCAUAGGAGGAAGCCUUGGCUAAAUACGUGCCAGCAGCCGCGGUAAUACGUAUGGGGCGAGCGUUGUCCGGAAUUAUUGGGCGUAAAGGGUACGUAGGUGGUUUUUUAAGUCAGGUGUCAAAGCGUGGAGCUUAACUCCAUUAAGCACUUGAAACUGAAAGACUUGAGUGAAGGAGAGGAAAGUGGAAUUCCUAGUGUAGCGGUGAAAUGCGUAGAUAUUAGGAGGAAUACCGGUGGCGAAGGCGACUUUCUGGACUUUUACUGACGCUCAGGUACGAAAGCGUGGGGAGCAAACAGG
Molecule: ribosomal RNA, 403 nt
Filed under: Verrucomicrobiota bacterium
Lineage: Bacteria; Pseudomonadati; Verrucomicrobiota
Description: Verrucomicrobia bacterium partial 16S ribosomal RNA
Rfam family: Bacterial small subunit ribosomal RNA
Source: RNAcentral